GUCUCAGAGCAGGAUGGGGCAUGCCCAUGUGAUCCUAAGGGCAGUUACACACUGGGACUCUUCGCUUUAAACUGGGAAAUGUUUAUCGGAUAUAAAAAAGAAAAUGAGACGGAUUUGUUUUUCCUCUGAGGAAAAAAAAGGAGAGGAAAGAUGACAGGGGAAAAGAAAAUGGGAAACGAAUAC
RNAcentral lists this long non-coding RNA (183 nucleotides) under Fukomys damarensis (Damara mole-rat). Its description in RNAcentral is "lncRNA (ENSFDAG00000028758.1)". Lineage: Eukaryota; Metazoa; Chordata; Mammalia; Rodentia; Bathyergidae. The record is from RNAcentral.